CAGAGCCCAGGAGUCCCAAAGCCUCAGAACCUAACUGAUAUCAGGCACUCUGCUCCACUAGGAAGCGGAGCUUUGUUCAUGGUGAGAACCUACUUCUGACCUACUGAAAGCUGCAACUUAUGCCCUGAGUGUCAUCAGCACUGUUUCUUGAGGGGGAGUAUGGUUCUGAGUGAAUCUGAUUGUGGGAAAUGAGGGAGAGAUGAUAUCCGAAAACCCCUGGAAGUCGCCUCAUGCUGCCUAAUGAAGAAUCAAU
Molecule: long non-coding RNA, 253 nt
Filed under: Mus pahari (shrew mouse)
Lineage: Eukaryota; Metazoa; Chordata; Mammalia; Rodentia; Muridae
Description: lncRNA (MGP_PahariEiJ_G0003431.1)
Source: RNAcentral